This 87-nucleotide transfer RNA is filed under the name Lentinus tigrinus ALCF2SS1-7. RNAcentral describes it as "tRNA-Val". Lineage: Eukaryota; Fungi; Basidiomycota; Agaricomycetes; Polyporales; Polyporaceae. RNAcentral also lists the same sequence under 1 other name. The record is from RNAcentral.
GGGUCGGUGGCGUAGUUGGUUAUCGCAUCUGUCUAACACCAUCUAUAUGGUCACAGAAGGUCCUCAGUUCGAACCUGGGCCGACUCA